GGGGGGCAACCCUGAUCCAGCCAUGCCGCGUGAGGGAAGAAGGCCUUCGGGUUUUA
RNAcentral lists this ribosomal RNA (56 nucleotides) under uncultured bacterium. Its description in RNAcentral is "partial 16S ribosomal RNA". The record is from RNAcentral.